UACGUAGGGUGCGAGCGUUGUCCGGAAUUAUUGGGCGUAAAGAGCUCGUAGGCGGUGUGUCGCGUCGGUCGUGAAAACUUGGGGCUUAACCCUGAGCUUGCGGUCGAUACGGGCAUCACUGGAGUUCGGCAGGGGAGACUGGAAUUCCUGGUGUAGCGGUGAAAUGCGCAGAUAUCAGGAGGAACACCGGUGGCGAAGGCGGGUCUCUGGGCAGUAACUGACGCUGAGGAGCGAAAGCGUGGGGAGCAAACAGG
Molecule: ribosomal RNA, 254 nt
Filed under: uncultured bacterium
Lineage: Bacteria
Description: partial 16S ribosomal RNA
Rfam family: Bacterial small subunit ribosomal RNA
Source: RNAcentral